This 2352-nucleotide long non-coding RNA is filed under the name Homo sapiens (human). Its description in RNAcentral is "HSALNT0173978". The record is from RNAcentral. Lineage: Eukaryota; Metazoa; Chordata; Mammalia; Primates; Hominidae.
UUCUUGACUGUUUCUACUCAAUACAACAUAAAUUUUAUGAGAGCAGAGAUUUUUGUCUCUUUCAUCCUCUGCUAUAAUUUGGUGCCUAGAACAAUAUCUGGCACGAAGUAGAUGCUCGAUAAAUGCUUUUUGAGUAAAGUAACGCAGAAGCUGUAUGUGUUCUGUUGCUAGAGGCUAAGUGCAUUUUCUCUAAGCCCAGCAUUGAAUGGCUUAUUGAAGAAUGAAACACGCAUUUCCAGGCUGGUCUCUGUGGUUUUUAUUAGUGUUUCCUGGGACCCAUCAAACAAAUAAACUUGUGAAGGCUUGUACGUUUCAGAGGUUCAUAAGACACAGUCUCAACAGGAGUUUUUUUUAAUAAAUGCUCUAUCUCUAGUUCCAGAAACUGAAUUCCAAGAAGCUACACUGAGGAUAAUUCAGCUCUGAUAUUGUGAUUACUGUGAUGUUCUUUCAUUCAUACAGUAAGUAUCUGCCCAAUACGUAACUACCGAGAUCUAUUGCUUCCUACAUAAUUAGACAAGCUCCUCACACAUAUGGGCCCAUGCCGUGCACAUAGCAGGCACUCAACAAGUGUUUGCUUAACUACAGAAGAAUAAUAUAAUUGCCUUCCUUCUUAACUGUUUUACCUUUUUCUAUACUUGAUAUAUUUGAAAAACAACAUGCUUGCAAAACUAAAAUCUAACAUGCAUUACUAACUUUAUCAAAAGAUCCCUCAGUAUUUUUCAAAAAGGAAAAAAAUAAUAAAAACCAAUCCCCCAAAUACUAAAACUUAGAACUGCUUUACACUUAAAUAGCAAUUUACAUCAUAUUAACAUAUUCAUAAUCUUCAUUGGUUAAAACAGGUCAAAGGUUUAUUACUGGCUUCUCAUACCAGAUAAGUCUCACAGUUCCCAAUAAGGCAACAGAAUCCUCAUCCAACAUAUAUUGACUUGUGGAACCCAACGGCCUGUUUUGGUUUCAUUUCAGCGCAAGUAGAAGGCAAAAUAAAGAGUCUCACAGUAAAAUGUUCAUAGUAGAUAAUAUGUCCUUGAAGGUUGUGCCGUUGUGCUCUUAUUCCACUGAAGAAAUGAUUCACAUCCCAAUUAUAGAUAUGGUCUCCCAAUCAGAGGAGUCUUUUAGAAGACAUUCAUUCAUUCAUUGAACAAAUAUGUGUUGUGUACUUGUCCCAUGCUAGGUAACAGGAAAAUAAUAGUGAUUGAUAAGACAUAGUCCCUGUCCUCAAAGAGCUAACAGUCUAGCAAGGCAGGAACUUUGAGAAAAGACCAAUGUGUUCAAAGGAAAACUCACAACCUGGGUCUCCCUUCUCAGAUGGCACAUUCAAGAAACUGUUGCUUAUGCCCCUGGGAGCCAGAGCCUUACUUAAGUCUUACCAAGUCAAAUAUCUAUCAGCCUCAGAUGAUUUGAGCCUGGUAAAGUCUUAGCAAUAGAUUUGCUGCCUCAUGUUCCCAUGAAAACCUAAUAAGAGAGAGCCCUUUCAACUCAGGCAUACGGGGGGUUUAAGGAUAACAUGUUUAGUGACCAUGUGGACAUUCAGCACAGGUGAGCUUCUCAAGUGAGAGCCAUGUGUCCCCAAAAGAAAGGAGGGUUUAUCCAUAAGACUUUGCUCUCCCUUUCAACACUGUGGUGGGAAGUACUCUGUUACCACCCCAAGUUGGCAUAGCUCGAUUACUUUAAGUUCUCCAAGUCACGAACAGCACAUAGAAAAUGCAGCAAACUCAAGUCAAGACAAUAGAGAGAUAUGCUGAGAACUUAAUACUCAAGCCUUAAUCAGGCACCAGAUGCCAAGAAACCUUCACUCUCAACAAACAACACAAUCCACUAAUUAUCUGUAGAAUUGUUGUAGUUGGUACUCUUCACAUUCACUUACUCCUUAGCAAAGAUUGCUCUUGAAUGGAAAGGUUGCAGAAAGAGCCAAAGCCAAUUUGGAAGAAGUGAGAAACUUACAGGUUUGAGGAAUGGUGAAGUCAGCGAAGGAUCUAGCCUCCUUAGAUGAUGAACAGGCAAAGUCAGAGAAGGAACCACAGUGAGAGAAUUGGCAGAUGCCCCUAAUAAAAUCACACAACUCAGACACACACACAGACACACAAAUAUUCAUGCGUUAUACCCAUUCAAGUAACUGGAUAUUUAAUUCAUUCUAUGCAAUGAACAGUCAAAUGCUGGGAAGGCCCCAUAGUUCUUUGGCCUUCUUGUAAAGCAACAUAUGUCUUUUCUGCAGGAAUGUCUGAGUUGCACAGUCAAGAUCGUUGCUGUUCAUUGUUCUUUUUCUCAGCUCUUUCAGUAACUGUUACUUGACAACACUAAGUUAAACCUUUACAGAAGUGACCAAGCCAGGCAGAAAUAAAAAUGGAUUUGGUU